GAUGUGUUAGGAGAGGCGGAUCGAUGGUUAGAGCACGUGUUGCUUUGUUCAUUUGUUUGUUUGGUUUGGUUUUCAAGACAUGGUUUCUUUGUGUAGGCUUGGCUGCCCUGGAACUCUCUGUAGACCAGACCGGCCUCACACUCAUAGCUCUGUUGGCCUCUACUAGGAUUAAAAGCUUGCUGUGCUCUUAAAUAGCAACUAGAUCUCGUUCCCAGCAGCCAUGGAAGCUCUGUAUCCUCCUGCGGCCCAGCAGGGCAGUGCACAUGUGUGCAUAGGUGUACAUGCAGGCCAGUGUGCACAUGUGUGCAUAGACAUACAUGCAGGCCAGUGUGCACAUGUGUGCAUAGGUGUACAUGCAGGCCAGUGUGCGCAUGUGUGCAUAGACAUACAUGCAGGCCAGUGUGCGCAUGUGUGCAUAGACAUACAUGCAGGCCAGUGUGCACAUGUGUGCAUAGACAUACAUGCAGGCCAGUGUGCACAUGUGUGCAUAGGUGUACAUGCAGGCCAGUGUGCACAUGUAUGCAUAGGUGUACAUGCAGGCCACUGUGUGCAUGUGUGCAUAGGUGUACAUGCAGGCAAAACGUCU
Long non-coding RNA from Apodemus sylvaticus (European woodmouse), 586 nucleotides. RefSeq lists it as uncharacterized. The record is from RefSeq and is a predicted model, not a curated record. The transcript has 3 exons. NCBI's taxonomy places the organism in Eukaryota, Metazoa, Chordata, Mammalia, Rodentia, Muridae.